Molecule: ribosomal RNA, 474 nt
Filed under: uncultured bacterium
Lineage: Bacteria
Description: partial 16S ribosomal RNA
Rfam family: Bacterial small subunit ribosomal RNA
Source: RNAcentral
GACGAGCGCUGGCGGCGUGCUUAACACAUGCAAGUCGAACGGUAAGGCCCUUCGGGGUCCCCGAGUGGCGAACGGGUGAGUAACACGUGGGUAAUCUGCCCUGCACAUCGGGAUAAGCCUGGGAAACUGGGUCUAAUACCGAAUAGGACCACAGGACACAUGUCCUGUGGUGGAAAGCUUUUGCGGGGUGGGAUGGGCCCGCGGCCUAUCAGCUUGUUGGUGGGGUGAUGGCCUACCAAGGCGACGACGGGUAGCCGGCCUGAGAGGGUGUCCGGCCACACUGGGACUGAGAUACGGCCCAGACUCCUACGGGAGGCAGCAGUGGGGAAUAAUGCACAAUGGGCGAAAGCCUGAUGCAGCGACGCCGCGUGGGGGAUGACGGCCUUCGGGUUGUAAACCUCUUUCACCAUCGACGAAGGUCCGGGUUUUCUCGGGCUGACGGUAGGUGGAGAAGAAGCACCGGCCAACUACGUG